GAUGAACGCUGGCGGCGUGCUUAACACAUGCAAGUCGAACGGGAAUUAUUUUAUUUAAACUUCGGUCGAUUUAAUUUAAUUCUAGUGGCGGACGGGUGAGUAACGCGUGGGUAACCUGCCUUAUACAGGGGGAUAACAGUCAGAAAUGGCUGCUAAUACCGCAUAAGCGCACAGAGCUGCAUGGCUCAGUGUGAAAAACUCCGGUAGUAUAAUAGGGACCCGCGUUGCAUUAGCUGGUUGGUGGGGUAACGGCCCACCAAGGCGACGAGCCAUAGCCGGCCUGGGAGGGCGAACGGGACCAUUGGGAGUGGGACACGGACCAGACUCCUCCGAGAGGGAGCAGUGGGGAAGAAUGCACAAUGGGGGAAAGCCUGAGGCAGCGAGGCCGCGUGAAGGAAGAAGUAUCUCGGUAUGUAAACUUCUAUCAGCAGGGAAGAUAGUGACGGUACCUGACAGAGAGGCCCCGGCUAACUACGU
This 477-nucleotide ribosomal RNA is filed under the name uncultured bacterium. RNAcentral's name for it is "partial 16S ribosomal RNA". It matches the Rfam family "Bacterial small subunit ribosomal RNA", at positions 28 to 506 of the family's 1533-position model. The record is from RNAcentral.